GUUGUCGUCAUUUUCUCAUGCCUCCCAAAGAUUUUGGCUCAAAGUAGUCCGAAAAGAUUUUGGAUUAAGUCUCAGAAACAUAAGCUGAUAUGCUUUUAGUUUUAUAUGAUUCUGUGAAAACUUAAAAAUAAAAUCCUGAAUUGAUAUUUUAUUCUACUUUUUAUUUUUUAGAGUCAGAGUCUUGCUCUGUCCACCAGGCAACCCCACACUCCUGGCCUCAAGUGAUCCUCCUGCCUCAGUCUGCCAAGUAGCUAGGACUGCAGGUGCACCACCAUGCCUGGCUAACUUUUAAAAUCUUUUUUGUAGAAACAGAGUCUUGCUAUGUGGCCAAGUUGGUCUUGAACUCCUGGCCUUGAGUGAUCCUCCCACCUCUACCUCCCGAAGCACUGUUAUUAUAGGUAAGAGCCACGGCACCUGGCUUCUGUCUUUACGAAAAUCGGCCAUUUGAUUUGUCAUUUCCACAUCACCAUUAAUGUUUGGUUAAAUGUGAGGUUGUAGGUAGUUUCUAUUUAAACAUCAGGACUUAGUUAUGCCUGUUGUAUCAAUCAAUGCAUAAAUGUGAAGCCAGAGGUGACAACAUUUGAGUAGGAAUUUAAGUUGUUUUAAAUAAUUUCUAGGGCAUUGUGAUGCAAAUAUUUGCAUGUAAUCCAAUACAAAUGUCAAUAAUAUUUUUGAGGAUAAUGAUACAGAGGACAUUUUACUAUAGGAAUAAAAUCAAGGAAAGAAUUUUGACAAAAGAAAGAACUCAUUUGAAACAAUGCCCAAGCCUCUGCUUCAAGUCAACAGGGAAGGAGAACGGCACCUACCUCACAUUAGAAGCCUGCUGCAGUCAUGUAAAGAAGGUAACCAUGGCAAGAAACUGCUUGUUUCCAUGCAUAAUGUAUUUAACUUAGAGACUGGCAUGGGCCUUAGAGGAAGCCCUAAUGAUGCACUGUUCAAAACCAGAAAGAUGUGAGAGGGAUGUGCCGGUGCUGAGAUUUCCUUCAAGGCUCUGAAAGCUGGAAGCGAGACAGAGAUCUCCUGCAGAGCAUCUCUCCUCACUGAUACCUGAAACACGUGCUGGCCCUGAUUCCUUUAAACAUCAGAAAUGUGGUGUCAAGGCUCUGGGUGUCCAAGUGGUGUGAGCAGGUCAUGGGAUCCUGGAGUCCAGCUAGAACAUAGGAAAGAAGUCUGAGUUCCGCAGGUACUCUUGCCAGACCCCGGGUUUAUUCUGCUCCGAUCCUGAUGCACGCAGGGCAACACACAAGGAGAGAGGCCUGCUGCUGUAUUUUAAUGGAUCGUCUCAGCUGGCAUCUCAUUUCCAAUACUGCACUAGGUACACAUACAGGAUUUUAAAAAUUUUUUUAUAUUUGUGAAACAGAGAAAUCUGCCACAAGAAAAAUGCUGUGAAAUGGAAAACAAAAACAAAAAACAAACAAACAAAAAAACAUAAAGCAGAGAAUCUCUAGAAGUGAGUGUGAAAGAAGUGUUGAGAUGAAGAAUGUUCCAGAGAAAGCUGCCUCCUUUCUUUAUGAAUGAAGUCGUGACUUUCAAUUGCAGGCCUGUGUUCUGCAAUGAGCUUAUGGGUCCCAAUCUGAAAUGUCAUGCUUUUGUCCAAACUACAUAGGACUUAUUUUUUACACAAAUAAUCAGAUGAAGAUUCCCCUAUUGGGAAAAAGAACAAUAUUCUUGAAACAUAAACAUUAGCAGUAAUAUGAAGAAAGCUGUAAGAAAAAUAAACUGCCCUUUAGAAUGUCUUUUUGUAAAUAGAAGCAAUGUCUUCUGUUGAAACCACCUCUGCCUUUUACAAAGCUGCUGUCUAUAAUUCAAUUAUUUCUCUGCCACGCAUUGAACACCGGUAGCUUCAUCUUUUGAUUUUCUAGGGUUUGUUUGAUCAGAAUCUCUGAAAAUGCACUCAUGUGAACUUCUGUCAAGUGCCUGAAUGACAGCAAAAGAAUGUUUGGAGAUGGAAAAAAUCAGUGCAUAUGGGACUGAGUGACAACUUCUUAAUGGAAACCUAAAAAGGGAGAUUUCUAGCCAAAAUGUUUAAUUACUGCUUAUUUGAGAGAGGCCAAGCCAUCUGUUGGCUGGGAUCUUGUCCCCACCUUUGGGGAUUGCCUGGUGAUUGGUUGGCCAUGUGUAAGAGAACCAUCUCCAACUGACAUCUGUCAUCAGUCAAACACCCAACUGUAAAGAUGAGCAAAGUUGCUAUCGGCUGUCAAUGGGCCAUAUGGAGCAAUGAGUAAACGAACAGAAAGCAACCACAUCACACUGACUCCGGGUGUUUAAACAGGCAAACCAACAUGCCACUCACCAGCCCAGCCACCACAUCUAGAUUGCAGCC
Molecule: long non-coding RNA, 2323 nt
Filed under: Homo sapiens (human)
Lineage: Eukaryota; Metazoa; Chordata; Mammalia; Primates; Hominidae
Description: HSALNT0206546
Source: RNAcentral